This 301-nucleotide ribosomal RNA is filed under the name unidentified eubacterium 87R6. Its description in RNAcentral is "bacterial SSU rRNA". It matches the Rfam family "Bacterial small subunit ribosomal RNA", at positions 500 to 798 of the family's 1533-position model. The record is from RNAcentral.
ACUGAGUGACAGCCGCCGCGGUAAUACGGAGGGUGCAAGCGUUAUCCGGAUUCACUGGGUUUAAAGGGUGCGUAGGUGGGCAAGUAAGUCAGUGGUGAAAUCUCCGGGCUUAACCCGGCUCCUGCCAUUGAUACUAUUUGUCUUGAAUACUGUGGAGGUCAGCGGAAUAUGUCAUGUAGCGGUGAAAAUGCUUAGAUAUGACAUUGNAACACCAAUUGCGAAGGCAGCUGGCUACACAAAUAUUGACACUGAUGCACGAANGCGUGGGGAUCAAACAGGAUUAGAUACCCUGGUAGUCCAC